RNAcentral lists this ribosomal RNA (407 nucleotides) under Clostridioides difficile. Its description in RNAcentral is "bacterial SSU rRNA". It matches the Rfam family "Bacterial small subunit ribosomal RNA", at positions 1136 to 1533 of the family's 1533-position model. The record is from RNAcentral. Lineage: Bacteria; Bacillati; Bacillota; Clostridia; Peptostreptococcales; Peptostreptococcaceae.
CACUCUAGAGAGACUGCCAGGGAUAACCUGGAGGAAGGUGGGGAUGACGUCAAAUCAUCAUGCCCCUUAUGCUUAGGGCUACACACGUGCUACAAUGGGUAGUACAGAGGGUUGCCAAGCCGUAAGGCGGAGCUAAUCCCUUAAAGCUACUCUCAGUUCGGAUUGUAGGCUGAAACUCGCCUACAUGAAGCUGGAGUUACUAGUAAUCGCAGAUCAGAAUGCUGCGGUGAAUGCGUUCCCGGGUCUUGUACACACCGCCCGUCACACCACGGGAGUUGGAGACGCCCGCAGCCGAUUAUCUAACCUUUUGGAAGAAGUCGUCGAAGGUGGAAUUAAUAACUGGGGUGAAGUCGUAACAAGGUAGCCGUAUCGGAAGGUGCGGCUGGAUCACCUCCUUUCUAAGGAGA